Molecule: ribosomal RNA, 254 nt
Filed under: uncultured bacterium
Lineage: Bacteria
Description: partial 16S ribosomal RNA
Rfam family: Bacterial small subunit ribosomal RNA
Source: RNAcentral
UACGGGGGGAGCAAGCGUUGUUCGGAUUUACUGGGCGUAAAGGGCGCGUAGGCGGUCGUGACAAGUCACUUGUGAAAUCUCCGGGCUUAACUCGGAACGGUCAAGUGAUACUGUCGGACUAGAGUACAGAAGGGGCAACUGGAAUUCUCGGUGUAGCGGUGAAAUGCGUAGAUAUCGAGAGGAACACCGGUGGCGAAAGCGCUCUGCUAGGCCGCAACUGACACUGAGGGACGAAAGCUAGGGGAGCGAAUGGG